This is a long non-coding RNA of Bos taurus (domestic cattle), 592 nucleotides long. NCBI's taxonomy places the organism in Eukaryota, Metazoa, Chordata, Mammalia, Artiodactyla, Bovidae. The record is from Ensembl.
ACCACUGACUACCAGGGUAAAGAAUGCCUGAGACGUGUGAAUAUGUUACCUCACAGGACAGAAAAGACCUUGCAAGUGUGAUUAAGAAAGACUCCUUCCCCUGGGACUGGGGAUGCCGAGAAGCGCAGCUGGGGGGGCCAGGGCCUGUGUGGACUGCAGGUCUGGUCAUAAAUCAACAAGAGUUUCUGAGUUAAAACUUUGACUGCAAGAAAGUUUUACUUCUGGAGAGCGCUAAUUUGUUUUUUGAGCUCAAUGUGAUUUGCUUGCAAACCCAGUGGACUGCUUCAGCUGGGGAACGUCCACCCAGUCGGCCUCGUCAUCACAGCCACAUUAUGCGGUUCGUGGGCUCACUGGCCUCUGUAUGCCCUCAAGAUGUCAGUGAGCUUUCCCAGUGGAGACGGCCAGUCAGAGAGCUGACUUCAGAUGAGGGCACGGAGACUCCGAGAGGUCCUUUCACUUGCCCAGGUGCCCGGGCAGGAAGGGCAGCACCAGGAGGCGGGCCUGUGCACGUGACCCUGGGAUUUCCCAACACCGUCACACAGUACAGCAGACGAGCUCACUUGGAACCAGGUUUAAGAUCUGCAAGGGCGGU